UAUUAAUGUAAAUUUUUUUAUUAAUUAGUAUUAGUUAAGUUCUUGAAAAUUAAAAGUUUUGGCGGUAUUUUAGUCUAUUCAGAGGAAUCUGUUCUAUAAUUGAUAGUCCACGAUUAAUUAUACUUUAUUUAUUAAUUUAUAUAUCGUUGUUUUUAAAUAUUUUAUAAGAAUAUAAAUUUUUAAAAAAUUAAAUUAAAUUAUAAUUCAAAUCAAGGUGUAGUUUAUAAUAAAGGAGAAAUGGAUUACAAUAUAUUUAUAUAUUAUGGAUAAUUAUAUGAAAAAUUAAUUUGAAGGUGGAUUUGAAAGUAAAAUAAAUAAUUUUAUUUUUUUGAUUUAAGCUCUAAAAUAUGU
Molecule: ribosomal RNA, 351 nt
Filed under: Laccophilus horni
Lineage: Eukaryota; Metazoa; Arthropoda; Insecta; Coleoptera; Dytiscidae
Description: partial 12S ribosomal RNA
Source: RNAcentral